Molecule: long non-coding RNA, 1508 nt
Organism: Xenia sp. Carnegie-2017
Lineage: Eukaryota; Metazoa; Cnidaria; Anthozoa; Malacalcyonacea; Xeniidae
Exons: 2
Source: RefSeq, a predicted model, not a curated record
UUUCCUGGAUACAAGCUAUAGCUUUGUCUGAUGUGUAAAUUAUAUGCGUAAAUACGUGUGAUUAGCCUAGCGGUAGUAUUCAAUGUCGAGAUAUCAAUAUGAUUGAUUUAUGUAUAGUCUAUAAAUAACAACUUUGUGUGUAUCUAGUAAGAUGAAGGCCAAGAAACGCGUGUAUAAAGGGAGGAAGUUUUAUUCAGAAUAUUUUGAACGUACACACACGAGUGCGAUGCCAAAUUCAUCACUGAAGCAGUAUAUGACUAUGAAGCAAAGUGAAAUAUUUCAUCUUAAGUAUAACUGCCAAGUGAAGAGGGCAUAACGUAAAACAUUUAAAAACAGUGUGUUUUAAAAAAAAUAUUUCAAACGUAAGAAUAAAAUUAAAGACAUUUUCAAUAAAAAAAACAUUACUAAUUAAUACUAAUUGCUCUUCCAAAGUCCAAACUUUGAAAUUGUUUUUUUUAACCUAGUGCGAACUCGUUAUGUCAGUGCACUGGUGGGAUAAAGUUUUUCAUAAGCUUUAAAUCCAACUUCUCUGAUUCUGCUGAAUAGUUCAAAUUGAAAGAAAACACUUGCAAUAAAAUCAUUAAGUCAUACAUAAAAUUCAUUAUACAACUGUAAUUAAUUAACAAGCAAAAUUUCUUCAAAGAACAAAAGUCACAAUAAUUAAACAUUUCAUAUGUGUGUCAACAUUGUUUAAAACACAGUGAAGUUUCCAGAGCAACUUUGCUGUUUUUGAAAAUAUAAAAUAAAUCAACGAGACAUUGAUUGAUUCAUUUCCAUCACGUCUUUUGUGGUCAUUUCGCUCCAGAACAGUCUCGUCAUGAACAAAAAUCAUAAGGCGAAUAUGUUUUCAAUGGUAAUAUUGUGGACGUGUCUGAUUUUCGUCUGUCAAUUUGGGGCUCUGAGUUCAAGUACCGUUCUGUAUGACCAGUGCUUUGUAGGAUGCAAACAGGGCUGUGAAAACCCCGUUGAACUCAGCGAAAAACAAGCAAUUGUUUGUGGCAAAAUUGAUAAUACCUGUAUGGAGCGUUGUGAAAAAUUUGCUAAAUCUGCUGAAAAGCUCGAAGAUCAAUUGACGAGGAAAACAUAUCAAAUGAACUUGAGAGAAGAGAAUUACACUCUGAAGAUUCAAUUGAAAAUCAAUACGACGAGGAAAACGAGUCGAGUGAACCUCGCGUUCAGAGAGAAUUGGAUUUACUUAGUAAAUUGCUUAAAUUUUGAACAAAGAAAAAUAUAUCUUUGAUUCCAGAUUGUUCUAUUUAAAUAAAAAUAUAUUGCCAUGAGAGUAUAGACUAGACCACAGGAAAUGGUAGAUUAAAAUGAUUUUUUGAUGAGAAGGUAUUAUAUUGACUACGCAAAUUGUAGCUAGUGAGCAAUGAAUUGUGAAAUCAUACUCUGCACCUACGACAAAAAGUGAAAUAGCCACAUGAUCUCAUUCUGACGCAAGCCUUACUGUGAUAUAAACAUACAAUGGCAUUUUUAUUAAUUAAAUUCUUCGUACUAUCUCGAAA